ACGCGUAGGAGUGUUUUAUCACAUAUAAAACACGACGCAUAGCAGAGUGUUUUAUAUGUGAUAAAACACUCCUACGCGUGCUUUAAA
This is a non-coding RNA of Paramuricea clavata, 87 nucleotides long. Lineage: Eukaryota; Metazoa; Cnidaria; Anthozoa; Malacalcyonacea; Plexauridae. The record is from the annotation of a GenBank genome assembly.